RNAcentral lists this ribosomal RNA (1240 nucleotides) under metagenome. RNAcentral describes it as "bacterial LSU rRNA". It matches the Rfam family "Bacterial large subunit ribosomal RNA", at positions 1694 to 2925 of the family's 2925-position model. The record is from RNAcentral.
CUGAACUCAGGAGAAGGAACUCGGCAAAUUGACACCGUAACUUCGGAAGAAGGUGUGCCUUUAGUAGGUGAACCAUUUACUUGGGGAGCCCAAUGAGGUUGCAAAAAAUCGGUGGCUGCGACUGUUUAAUAAAAACACAGCACUCUGCAAACACGAAAGUGGACGUAUAGGGUGUGACGCCUGCCCGGUGCUGGAAGAUUAAAUGAUGGGGUGCAAGCUCUUGAUUGAAGUCCCAGUAAACGGCGGCCGUAACGAUAACGGUCCUAAGGUAGCGAAAUUCCUUGUCGGGUAAGUUCCGACCUGCACGAAUGGCGUAACGAUGGCCACACUGUCUCCUCCUGAGACUCAGCGAAGUUGAAAUGUUUGUGAUGAUGCAAUCUCCCCGCGGAAAGACGGAAAGACCCCAUGAACCUUUACUGUAGCUUUGUAUUGGACUUUGAACAGAUCUGUGUAGGAUAGGUGGGAGGCUUUGAAGUGUGGUCGCUAGAUCGCAUGGAGCCAACGUUGAAAUACCACCCUGGUGUGUUUGAGGUUCUAACCUAGGCCCGUAAUCCGGGUCGGGGACAGUGCAUGGUAGGCAGUUUGACUGGGGCGGUCUCCUCCCAAAGCGUAACGGAGGAGUUCGAAGGUACGCUAGGUACGGUCGGACAUCGUGCUAAUAGUGCAAUGGCAUAAGCGUGCUUAACUGCGAGACUGACAAGUCGAGCAGAUGCGAAAGCAGGACAUAGUGAUCCGGUGGUUCUGUAUGGAAGGGCCAUCGCUCAACGGAUAAAAGGUACUCUGGGGAUAACAGGCUGAUACCGCCCAAGAGUUCAUAUCGACGGCGGUGUUUGGCACCUCGAUGUCGGCUCAUCUCAUCCUGGGGCUGUAGCCGGUCCCAAGGGUAUGGCUGUUCGCCAUUUAAAGAGGUACGUGAGCUGGGUUUAAAACGUCGUGAGACAGUUUGGUCCCUAUCUUCCGUGGGCGCUGCAGAUUUGAGGAAGCCUGCUCCUAGUACGAGAGGACCGGAGUGGACACACCUCUGGUGUAUCGGUUGUCACGCCAGUGGCAUUGCCGAGUAGCUAUGUGUGGAAGAGAUAACCGCUGAAAGCAUCUAAGCGGGAAACUCGUUUCAAGAUGAGAUCUGCCGGGGCCUUGAGCCCCCUAAAGAGUCGUUCAAGACCAGGACGUUGAUAGGUCGGGUGUGGAAGCGCAGUAAUGCGUUAAGCUAACCGAUACUAAUUGCUCGUGCGGCUUGACC